UACGUAGGGGGCAAGCGUUGUCCGGAUUUAUUGGGCGUAAAGAGCGUGUAGGCGGCCAUACAGGUCCGUUGUGAAAACUCGAGGCUUAACCUCGAGACGUCGAUGGAAACCGUAUGGCUAGAGUCCGGAAGAGGAGAGUGGAAUUCCUGGUGUAGCGGUGAAAUGCGCAGAUAUCAGGAAGAACACCCGUGGCUAAGGCGGCUCUCUAGUACGGUACUGACGCUGAGACGCGAAAGCGUGGGGAGCGAACAGG
Molecule: ribosomal RNA, 253 nt
Filed under: uncultured bacterium
Lineage: Bacteria
Description: partial 16S ribosomal RNA
Rfam family: Bacterial small subunit ribosomal RNA
Source: RNAcentral